UGACCCUAGUUCAGGCGGGUCUACCCGCUGAGCGYGCAUAUCAAUAAGCGGAGG
RNAcentral lists this ribosomal RNA (54 nucleotides) under Mammillaria gigantea. RNAcentral describes it as "partial 26S ribosomal RNA". The record is from RNAcentral. Lineage: Eukaryota; Viridiplantae; Streptophyta; Magnoliopsida; Caryophyllales; Cactaceae.